AGUGAGGAAUAUUGGACAAUGGAUGGAAAUCUGAUCCAGCCAUGCCGCGUGUGUGAAGAAGGCCUUUUGGUUGUAAAGCACUUUAAGCGAGGAGGAGGCUACUUAGAUUAAUACUCUAGGAUAGUGGACGUUACUCGCAGAAUAAGCACCGGCUAACUCUGUGCCAGCAGCCGCGGUAAUACAGAGGGUGCGAGCGUUAAUCGGAUUUACUGGGCGUAAAGCGUGCGUAGGCGGCUUUUUAAGUCGGAUGUGAAAUCCCUGAGCUUAACUUAGGAAUUGCAUUCGAUACUGGGAAGCUAGAGUAUGGGAGAGGAUGGUAGAAUUCCAGGUGUAGCGGUGAAAUGCGUAGAGAUCUGGAGGAAUACCGAUCGCGAAGGCAGCCAUCUGGCCUAAUACUGACGCUGAGGUACGAAAGCAUGGGGAGCAAACAGGAUUAGAUACCCUGGUAGUCCAUGCCGUAAACGAUGUCUACUAGCCGUUGGGGCCUUUGAGGCUUUAGUGGCGCAGCUAACGCGAUAAGUAGACCGCCUGGGAAGUACGGUCGCAAGACUA
This 552-nucleotide ribosomal RNA is filed under the name uncultured bacterium. RNAcentral describes it as "bacterial SSU rRNA". It matches the Rfam family "Bacterial small subunit ribosomal RNA", at positions 353 to 896 of the family's 1533-position model. The record is from RNAcentral.